This is a long non-coding RNA of Gasterosteus aculeatus aculeatus (three-spined stickleback), 6534 nucleotides long. The record is from Ensembl. Lineage: Eukaryota; Metazoa; Chordata; Actinopteri; Perciformes; Gasterosteidae.
CGAGCGAGCAAAAAUUUGUCUCGAGCGAGCAAAAGUUUGUCUCCGCGAGGUAUUUGCUCGCUUGUGAAACGUGAACUUCGUUGCUCGUGAGGAGAAUCUCUGCUCGCGCUCGAAGUAGUUUUCUACGCGCUCGCUGUUGUUCUUUUUGACAGUAAGGUGGAGACGGUGCUUUCAGGGUCCGGUCGAUGAGAGGCACAAAAUCUUAAUUUCCACCAGGCUGAUUGCAUUGUAUAUGGUUGAUUUAACAGAAUUUAGGGAGUGUGUUAUUUAUUUCAAACCGUGCUCUGCUGAGAGUUUUUAUUAUUUUGAUUUAAUUUCUUUUACUUUUAGCCUACUUUUAUUUUCUGUCUUUGCACUGCUGACUAGCCUGAAUAAAAUAGACAGGUUAUUGUCUAUGCUGGUUUGUCUAGCCUUUAUUGAGCUCUGUUGGUUGAGCAUGAUGUUUAGACAGUGUUUUGUUAUUGUCUUUGCCGAAUAUUGCAAAAUAAAGGUGUAACUGUUUUUGCAAUUUAGCUACUCUCUUUUCUACUCUCUAAGGUUUAAUUAUUAUUUAAGUAAUUUUUUUUCUACAAAAAACUAGGCCCACCCACUUUUUCACUGGCCCGCCCAAAAUACAAUUUCUGCCUAAGCCCCUGCUGCUCGCGCACAAAGGAGUUUUCUACGCGCUCGCUGUUGUUCUUUUUGACAGUAAGGUGGAGACGGUGCUUUCGGGGUCCGAUCAAUGCUGCGAGGUGGGUCUGGAUUAGGAUUGAAGGAUUAGGGAUGAAUGAGGUUCAUACAUUUUGUUCGUCCGGCGGUGCUGCAGCUUCAUUAUGCUACUUGAUAUUGUGCUUUGCUCCACGCUUUGCUCCCCCCCUCCAAGUUCUUACACCUGCUUUAGCUUUGUUUUUUUUGUCUUCGACACUGGGUUGUCCCCCAAUAGUUUUGUUUGCGUUUCAGAACGUUAACUUUACACACUCUUUGUUGUCAUUGUGGACAGUGAGGAAGUUAUGUAACGGAGGUGUCAUAAAACUCUGCACUGUUUGAGAAGAAAACGCCAGGUCUCUGAACUUAAGAAAGAACAGCCAAGGCCCUUGAGUUUUUACUACACGAGCCAGACGCGCAGGUUCAGAUGCUCGCAGUUUGUUUUAUGAUGUCAGGCCUUAAACUGCAGAUACUUCAGCUGAGCUCGCAGGGGCAUAAUCUCCAGCUGGAAAGCUUUCUCGGGCCCUGGUGUUGCCCUUCACCUGGGUGAGGCGUGGAAAGUUGGCAGGAGACUGGAGUUUCAGCAACAUCAAUACUCUUCCUGCCACCAGGUUUGUUUUAUGUCUCUCUGCGUCGGCGGGCACUUGAGGGGUGGACAAUUUGUUUAGGCAGCUGAAGAUGGAACUGUGUGUAGCGGAGGAUUAUGAGAUCGCCGGGUGAUUUGUGGGUGGGAUCUUCUCAGAGGCCCCCGGCUGAAAUAUCCAACACUUGCUUUGGUGUUAAAUUAUGAUACCUAAACCAUAAAUAUUCUGCAUUAAGACCCCCAGCGUUCCACGUUUGAGAACAGAUAGUUUGUCUUUCUGUUCUUACUCCCCCCGUGAGUGGCUGAAUUUGUCCCACAUUCCUUUGUGAAAAACACUUAAUGAGUCAGUGAAACCAGGGAUUUUAUUCUUCCUCUGUUGCGCACACAUCUUCGCAGCGCGGUUUACAUCUUAAUAAUGUACUCCAGACCAUAAUUUAAUUCACCACAGCAGUGUGAAACACACACCGAGAAGGAAUCUCGCCACAGCAAAAAUUGGAGUGUUGAAAUUUCAGGGUUAAAAAUUUCCGAGUUGAUUUUCACUCCCUGAGUGUAAUUUUAACACAUUCUGAUUUAAAUGGUGUUCAGUGUUGGAGUUAUUUGGCAGAGUUGAUCAUGUCAGUGUUAACCCAACUCCGCAGAGACGUAAUUAAGCUCCGCCCACGCCUUUCACCUCUUCGGUUAGAGACAGAGAAGACAAGUCUGCGCCAUUUUCUACCUCUCAUGCAGUACUACACGGUAAGUGCAAUUAAGUUAAACUCACUGAAACAAUUAAAAAUUGAUGCUGAGAAUUUCAGUAUGAACAAUUAAAUAUCUACAGAGAAUAUAUGCCUUACACAGCCGUGUUUGUUGCCAGGACUGAACAGUACAUUUGUCCUCGUGGUUAGCUAGCUAGUUAGCAGUGUACGGUAAGCUAGCUAACAGUUUGUUACUAAAACUAUCUCCAACUUUAUCAAUAAUGAUUUAACAAUUCAUAGGCAUACUCAAAGGUAGGAAAUACAAAGCAUUAUGAUUUUUAACUAUAUAAAAUCUUGUUUGAGGCUGGAGCUAACGUUUUUUUUUCCUCUUUGAAGAUCAAAGGGACCGCAAAAAACGUGUCCCAACAUGCAGACGGUGUUUCACGUGUCUAGUUCACGUGUCUAGCUAUCCAUCAGAUUCUAUGACCUGCAGUGUUGGAAAAAGUACUCAUUUACUUAAGUAAAAGUAUUCAAAAUGCUGGUCCAGGUGAAGUACAGCCAACAGCAGAAGUAUGUAAAGUUGGAUGAGGAUGAAGGACUGUUUGACUUUCUGCAAUUCCAUGAAAAAGUCAUGGAGAGAUUUGGCCUGCCACCUGAUGCAAAUGUUAUAUACAAGGAUGCAACAGGGACAGAAGUUGAUGCAGAAAUAUUCAGCGACCUCGUUGGACAAGGCAAUGUGGUCCUGACAGUUUUCUCAGAUCAGGAAUUCUCUGAUUUCUCCUUGUCUUCUGAGACGUCUGACUCAAGCUUCAGCUCAAGUGCAUCAACUAUAAUCCUAGAUGUUCCGAACAAGAGACAAAGAAUUGAGGAUACACGUGAUGCUGUGUCUGCUAAACAGUUGAUAGAAGCUGUGCUAAGAGGCAAGUCCGGAGGUGAAGAAGUACUACAGGAGUACCAAACAACAGAAACCCAGAUGCUGCAAGAAGACAAAUGGUUAAUAUCCUGGUGGCUCACAUGAUUGACAAUCAUGGGCACUAAAACAAUCAGAGAAGAUUAUGCACGUGGGAUAGUGAUGCUGUUCCCUUCCCUUAAGGAUCCAUACUCCAAGAAGGGCUAUGAACACUUCUAUGAUGCUGCAAGCAGCACAGGAUACAUUUCUUGGCGUCUGAAAACAGUCCAGAGGAAGAUUCGUCAAGUAUCUGCACAGCCACCAAAAAGCCCAAUUGACUUUUCUCCAGUAGGCCCAAAUUGCCAAAGGACUGUUAAUGUUGAAGGGCAGCUUGAUGGUGAUGCUUGCCAAGAGGCCAUGUCUUUGCUUAACCAUGCAGCAGACAAUUCCCUGAUUUUCCAGAAGAUGAGAGAGACCUUUCAGCAUCGUCAGAAGCUUGUUAAUGACCCAGGCAGAAGUGUUGAUAUACUCUCCAACUUCCCAAGAUUUCUGGAUACAAAAGGAUUGGUGGAACAAGACUUCACUCUCCUAUUUGACGAAGACACAUCAUCCAGGCUUCUUCAGAAAUGGGAUUUGUUCUUCAAGCCAAAUGUCAUUAAAGAGGCUAAGCGGCUCACCUCAACACCAGAGUUGCGUCGCUUGGUGCAGUCAGCAGAAAGUCCCCCAGGAAGUGAUCUUGAUGAGGCAACAACCUACGACCAAGAAAUGGCCUCCCUGUUGUUGCUGUUACAUCUCCUUCCACCACCUCCAGGGGGACUGAAGUCUCCAAAAAUUAGUGCAUGUGAUGCAGUUGAAAGACUUGUUGUCUUUCAUAAGUCAUGCUGCAGUUUGGAGGAGCAUCUCCGCAACCAGCAGGGUCGGCAGCCGUACCUCCUCGCUGUUGGGCGUCAGAAGAGCAAGAUUGACAGCUUCUACGUCACCAUGGAUAAGCGUCUCAUCCCAUGCAAGGCAAACCGCUCCCUCGGGGCAUGUGAUGAACUUUUCAAAGCACAUUAAAUUUGUCUUACGAUGUGGCACUUGUGAAUUUUUAUACAUUCCUGCAGACAACAGUGUAUAACAUUGAUGUGGGGAAAAUGAAGGAGUCACCCAGAGUUAAAGACUUGAGAGCAAGACUGCUUAACCAGCAAGUAGCAUUCUCACCCUGUGAGUAAGAAGCUAUAACAAUGCUGACCUGUUUCAUGUGUCAGAAAAAUUAUCCCAGCAGUCAGCAGUUGAUUUCACAUUUAAGAGUUGAACAUGGUUACUAUCCUGGACCCAAGUUCAAAUUGUUUUGUUCUCAGCAAUGCUGUAGGCAUCAGUUCCUAACAUAUGCAGGUUUUCGAAAGCACCGUAAUAGUGUUCAGAGCAUUUUUCAGCAAACUCAAACUUCAACUGUUGCAUGUUCAUCUAGUGAGCCAGUUGCAACUUCAUCUCAGGCACAUACUUUGGAGGACCAAUUUAUUCCACAAAAUCAAUGUAGUUCUUCCAGUAUUUCUUCUGAGGCCAAUGAUUCAGGACUUACUAAAGAUCCAACUAAAGAAAUGUGUGCAUCCAUCGUGGCCAAAUUACAGGGGAGUGGGAUAUCCAACAGUUUGGUAUCCUCAAUUGUAGGAGAUUUGGAAGAACUAACGAGUGAACUUCGCUCACAAGCAAAGCAUACAGCUAUUUCUGCUUUACCUAUAACUGACCCCAACAUAUCUGUGAUAAAUGAAUCUUUUGAAGAUUAUGAAAAUCCGUUUUCAAAUCUGAACACAGAAUGGAAACGAAAUAAAUACUUCCACCAAAAAUGGGGAGUUGUUGAGCCAGUAGAAAUAACACUGGGAGUGAGAUAUGACAACAGGCGAAAUCAGAAAUCCGGUACUUAUGAUCAAGUACCUGUGAAGGAUACUUUUAUCUAUGUGCCAAUUUUAGAAACAUUGAAGUUCAUGUGCAGAAAUCCAGACAUUUGUGUUUUGCUAAAGAAGGAGUGUAGAUCAGAGCCUGACACUUAUACUGACUUUUUUGGUGGAAGUUAUUUUAAAACCCACCCUUUGUUUACAGCUAAUAAACAUGCAUUGCAAAUUCAACUAUACUAUGACGAUUUUGAAACAGCCAAUCCCCUUGGCUCCAAACGUGGAAUACACAAAAUUGGCUGUCUUUAUUUUGUUGUAAGAAAUUUGCCCCCAAAAUUUAAUUCGGUUUUGAUGAACAUUCAUUUGGUAUCACUUUUUCACACACAAGAUCUGCGCAAGUAUGGUUUUGAUGUUAUACUAGAACCGUUGAUAAAUGAUGUGAAAAAACUAGAAAGCCAAGGGCUAAGUCUUCCAUUUGUAGAUGAGCAGGUAUAUGGUACAAUCUGUCAGAUUACUGGAGAUAAUCUAGGGAUGCACACAAUUCUUGGUUUUAAUGAGUCAUUUAGUAGCCGUCAUUUCUGUUGCCUUUGUUUGAUUGAGAAGAAUGAUUGUCAAACGGUAUACAGUGAGGAUGAUCCUAAAGUGAUCCUUCGUGGAAAAGAUAUGUUUGAUAUGCAUUGCCAGUCUCUCCAGGAAAACCCACAAUUUAAGUCACUUUAUGGUUUGAAAAAAAGAUCUGCACUUAAUUCAUUGAAGUAUUUCCAUGUUUGCAAUAACUAUUCAUUUGAUAUCAUGCAUGAUCUUCUUGAGGGUGUGGUUCAGUAUGAGAUCAAAUUGCUUUUUGGAUAUCUCACACAACACUUUAUGUCAGAACAAGACUUGCUUUCCAGGAUUUAUGGUUUUGAUUAUGGAUUUUUAGAACGAAAAAAAUCGUCCUACAAAGAUUAUUUUGGAGAGUGCUGGCAAUGGCAUUGGUUUGAAUUCUAUUCAGACAUUGUGUCUUGUGAAAAACAUCCCACUGUUGUUUGGUGAAAUUAUUCCUGCAGGAAACAAAAACUGGAAUUGGUUACUGUUGUCAAAUAAUGAACAUAGUUUUUUCACCUUCUCUCACUCUAGGUAUGACAAUAUAUUUAAAGCAUUUGAUUGUUGACCACCACAAACUAUUUAAGCACUUGUAUCCACAUAGAAACGUGAUACCUAAGCAUCAUUUUAUGAUCCAUUACCCAUCUUCUAUAAGGAAAAUUGGCCCCUUAUUAUAUACGUGGUGUAUGAGGUUUGAGGCCAAACACAAGCUGUUUAAAGAUUCUUUAAAAAAUUUCAAAAACAUAACCAAAUCGCUUGCUAUAAAGCAUCAGAUGGCCAUUGCUUAUCACUGGGAAACCUUCACCCUCAAAAAAAAUGAGUAUGGGCCCAUUAAAUCUUUUCUCUUCAGAGAUGAGAAUGUGGUCAACAAUGAAAUGCUUGAAACAAUCUUGUCAAAAGAUGUUUUCUCAACUAGUUGGGUUAAAGUUGAUGGUGUAGAGUAUAAAGCUGGACUAGUUAUUUGCAGUGCAAUGGAAGAAGACAUGCCAGUCUUUUGUCAAAUAAGUGAUGUACUUUUGGUUGAAGAUCACUUAUUUUUUUUGACAAACAAGCUAUUUACAGAGAAUUUUGAUGACCAUCAUCAUGCAUUCAGAGUAUUACGAAGUGCGGAAAGAUGUUUACUAAAAAUGUCUUAGCUUAAAUUUCAAAAACCGUUUGAUAUUCAAAGCUCAUACAAUGUUUCGGAUGAAAGUUUGUACAUUAUACCUUCAUUCACAAUGUUUUAAUUCAACUGACUGCAAGGGAGAAAAG